CCUACGGGUGGCUGCAGUGGGGAAUAUUGCACAAUGGGCGCAAGCCUGAUGCAGCAACACCGCGUGCGGGAUGACGGCCUUCGGGUUGUAAACCGCUUUCAGUGGGGACGAAGUGAAAAUGACGGUACCCACAGAAGAAGCACCGGCUAACUACGUGCCAGCAGCCGCGGUGAUACGUAGGGUGCGAGCGUUGUCCGGAUUUAUUGGGCGUAAAGAGCUUGUAGGCGGUUUGUCACGUCGGAAGUGAAAUCUUGGGGCUCAACCCCAAGCCUGCUUUCGAUACGGGCUGACUUGAGGAAGGUAGGGGAGAAUGGAAUUCCCGGUGGAGCGGUGGAAUGCGCAGAUAUCGGGAGGAACACCAGUGGCGAAGGCGGUUCUCUGGACCUUUCCUGACGCUGAGAAGCGAAAGCGUGGGUAGCAAACAGGCUUAGAUACCCCAGUAGUC
This 445-nucleotide ribosomal RNA is filed under the name uncultured Brooklawnia sp. RNAcentral's name for it is "bacterial SSU rRNA". It matches the Rfam family "Bacterial small subunit ribosomal RNA", at positions 338 to 795 of the family's 1533-position model. Lineage: Bacteria; Bacillati; Actinomycetota; Actinomycetes; Propionibacteriales; Propionibacteriaceae. The record is from RNAcentral.